CGUAGGGUGCAAGCGUUAAUCGGAAUUACUGGGCGUAAAGCGUGCGCAGGCGGUUAUGUAAGACAGUUGUGAAAUCCCCGGGCUCAACCUGGGAACUGCAUCUGUGACUGCAUAGCUAGAGUACGGUAGAGGGGGAUGGAAUUCCGCGUGUAGCAGUGAAAUGCGUAGAUAUGCGGAGGAACACCGAUGGCGAAGGCAAUCCCCUGGACCUGUACUGACGCUCAUGCACGAAAGCGUGGGGAGCAAACAGGAUUAGAUACCCUGGUAGUCCACGCCCUAAGCGAUGUCAACUGGUUGUUGGGUCUUCACUGACUCAGUAACGAAGCUAACGCGUGAAGUUGACCGCCUGGGGAGUACGGCCGCAAGGUUG
Molecule: ribosomal RNA, 370 nt
Filed under: uncultured organism
Description: bacterial SSU rRNA
Rfam family: Bacterial small subunit ribosomal RNA
Source: RNAcentral